Molecule: long non-coding RNA, 605 nt
Organism: Homo sapiens (human)
Lineage: Eukaryota; Metazoa; Chordata; Mammalia; Primates; Hominidae
Product: long intergenic non-protein coding RNA 1630
Source: Ensembl
GCCAAUUGGAUAUGGGUAUUGUAGCUGAAACGUCUUGCGAGCUGAGUCAGGGUCGGGGAAGCUGUGAUGGCAAUGAGAAGUCAACACACUGAGGAUGGAGAGAAAGAAGAUGAGUCUGGGAGAGAAAGAGAAUGAUUCUUCUGGCCGAGGGAAAGCAAGAAUAUCUGUUCCUGCAACUGCACUGAUUCUAGAAACACUCUCUAUUCGAACUCUCAUGAGCUAAAGACUCUGCAGAUCAUAUCAUGGAGGAAUCAUUGUGUCCCAGGAAUUGCUAUAGUGGUGAUGGGGCAUGAAUCUUAAGAUGGACCGAAAAUGCUGACGCCAAUGCCAAGGAAAAAAGUGUCUUGAAAAAGCAGCCGUGGACGUGGAGUUACCAAAUCAUCCGAAGUGGCUCCUGGACCGGGUGGAGGAGCCAGGCUGCAGAAAUGCAGUUCAUCGCAGGAGUUUUCCUGAACAGAGAAAAGUCUCCACAGAAUAGCAAAAAUAGCAAAAACUCGAAGUCAAGGGUCUUGAGGUCUAAAUUUUCUGUGUGACCCCAGGGAAAUCGUUUCAUCUUUCUAGGUCUUCACAUCCUCACCUGAAAAAUAAAGUGCUUGGCUAAGAAA